GAGUUUGAUCCUGGCUCAGGAUGAACGCUGGCGGCGUGCUUAACACAUGCAAGUCGAACGGGGAUGCCAUUUUCGAGGCGGUUAGUUUACUAAGCGCCAAGAUGCUGGCAUCUUAGUGGCAGACGGGUGAGUAACGCGUGGGUAACCUGCCUUAUACAGGGGGAUAACACUUAGAAAUAGGUGCUAAUACCGCAUAAGCGCACGGGGCUGCAUGGCCCAGUGUGAAAAACUCCGGUGGUAUAAGAUGGACCCGCGUCUGAUUAGCUUGUUGGCGGGGUAACGGCCCACCAAGGCGACGAUCAGUAGCCGGCCUGAGAGGGUGGACGGCCACAUUGGGACUGAGACACGGCCCAAACUCCUACGGGAGGCAGCAGUGGGGAAUAUUGGACAAUGGGGGGAACCCUGAUCCAGCGACGCCGCGUGAGUGAAGAAGUAUUUCGGUAUGUAAAGCUCUAUCAGCAGGGAAGAAAGAAAUGACGGUACCUGACUAAGAAGCCCCGGCUAACUACGUGCCAGCAGCCGCGGUAAUACGUAGGGGGCGAGCGUUAUCCGGAUUUACUGGGUGUAAAGGGAGCGUAGACGGCAUGGCAAGUCUGG
This 597-nucleotide ribosomal RNA is filed under the name uncultured bacterium. Its description in RNAcentral is "bacterial SSU rRNA". It matches the Rfam family "Bacterial small subunit ribosomal RNA", at positions 9 to 592 of the family's 1533-position model. The record is from RNAcentral.